RNAcentral lists this ribosomal RNA (305 nucleotides) under uncultured bacterium. RNAcentral describes it as "bacterial SSU rRNA". It matches the Rfam family "Bacterial small subunit ribosomal RNA", at positions 333 to 636 of the family's 1533-position model. The record is from RNAcentral.
UACCUCCUACGGGGCGCAGCAGUGAGGAAUAUUGGUCAAUGGCCGAGAGGCUGAACCAGCCAAGUCGCGUGAGGGAAGACGGCCCUACGGGUUGUGAACCUCUUUUGUCGGGGAGCAAAGAGAGUCACGUGUGACUCAUUGAGAAUACCCGAAGAAAAAGCAUCGGCUAACUCCGUGCCAGCAGCCGCGGUAAUACGGAGGAUGUGAGCGUUAUCCGGAUUUAUUGGGUUUAAAGGGUGCGCAGGCGGAGGUGCAAGUCAGCGGUCAAAUUGCGGGGCUCAACCCCGUACUGCCGUUGAAACUGC